RNAcentral lists this transfer RNA (86 nucleotides) under Methermicoccus shengliensis. RNAcentral's name for it is "tRNA-Leu". It matches the Rfam family "tRNA". From Rfam's summary of the family: Transfer RNA (tRNA) molecules are approximately 80 nucleotides in length. Their secondary structure includes four short double-helical elements and three loops (D, anti-codon, and T loops). The record is from RNAcentral. Lineage: Archaea; Methanobacteriati; Methanobacteriota; Methanomicrobia; Methanosarcinales; Methermicoccaceae.
GCGGGGGUUGCCGAGCAUGGCCAAAGGCGCAGGACUUAAGAUCCUGUCUCUCAGGAGUUGCGUGGGUUCAAAUCCCACCCCCCGCA